AUGGACCUUGACGGCGAGUGGCGCGACGGUGGUGGCCGGGAGCGGUUCCUGGCCAUGAUGAUCUUCGACGGCUGCUUCCUGCUGGAGGUGAUCAGGUGCACGGCCGCCGAUGGGAAGCAGGUCGGCGACUACGCACAUAACGACCCCAUCUUCAGCCCCCAUGGGAUACUAUACAUGGUGCCCUACAUCCGGCGAGACGUGCUCAAAAACCAGCUACCUCUACUCCUGCUUCAGAAGCUCGUUGAGGUUGAGACUGGAAAGCCUCCGAACGACGACUUCAUCAACCGAAUGGUGCUGAAAUUUCUGGCCCAAUCAUCCGGGACACUACCAGCAGGCAUCGGCCUAGGGCUCCACCCGCUGGAUGUCUUUCGCCGGAGCAUGCUCACUGGUAAGCACCACAAAAUCCGGAGCCCCCAGGACAUUGAGGACGACAACGCCAUCAUCCGGUCAGCUGUGGAGCUCUACGAAGCCGGGAUCCAGUUCAAGCCGAGCAAGACGUUGAGCCUGCACGACAUCCGGUUCCGGCGCGGCACGCUGAGCAUGCCGACGGUGUCGGUGGACGACUCCACCGAGUACAUGUUCCUCAACAUGAUGGCGUUCGAGCGGCUGCAUGCUGGAGCUGGCAACGACGUGACCGGCUAUGUCUUCUUCAUGGACAACAUCAUCGACUCGGCCAAGGACGUGGCGCUGCUGAGCUCCAAGGGCAUCAUCCAGAACGCCAUCGGUAGCGACCAAGCCGUGGCCAAGCUGUUCAACACCAUUUCUAGGGACGUGGUGCUCGAGCCCAACAGCGCGCUUGAUGCCGUGCAGCGACAGGUCAAUGGCUACUUCCGGCAGCCAUGUGGCGCGCCAACCUCAUCCGCACCUACUUCAGGAGCCCGUGGGCGUUCCUCUCCCUUGCGGCCGCCGUCUUCCUCCUCGGCAUGA
This 927-nucleotide ribosomal RNA is filed under the name Triticum aestivum (bread wheat). RNAcentral describes it as "partial small subunit ribosomal RNA". The record is from RNAcentral. Lineage: Eukaryota; Viridiplantae; Streptophyta; Magnoliopsida; Poales; Poaceae.